GAGGUUGUAGCUCAGCGGUAGAGUGCUUGCCUAGCACGUUCAAGGAUCUGGGUUCGAUCCUCAGCACCACA
Molecule: transfer RNA, 71 nt
Filed under: Marmota monax (woodchuck)
Lineage: Eukaryota; Metazoa; Chordata; Mammalia; Rodentia; Sciuridae
Description: tRNA.Ala
Source: RNAcentral